GGUUAAGCGACUAAGCGUACACGGUGGAUGCCCUGGCAGUCAGAGGCGAUGAAGGACGUGCUAAUCUGCGAUAAGCGUCGGUAAGGUGAUAUGAACCGUUAUAACCGGCGAUUUCCGAAUGGGGAAACCCAGUGUGAUUCGUCACACUAUCAUUAACUGAAUCCAUAGGUUAAUGAGGCGAACCGGGGGAACUGAAACAUCUAAGUACCCCGAGGAAAAGAAAUCAACCGAGAUUCCCCCAGUAGCGGCGAGCGAACGGGGAGCAGCCCAGAGCCUGAAUCAGUGUGUGUGUUAGUGGAAGCGUCUGGAAAGGCGCGCGAUACAGGGUGACAGCCCCGUACACAAAAAUGCACAUGCUGUGAGCUCGAUGAGUAGGGCGGGACACGUGGUAUCCUGUCUGAAUAUGGGGGGACCAUCCUCCAAGGCUAAAUACUCCUGACUGACCGAUAGUGAACCAGUACCGUGAGGGAAAGGCGAAAAGAACCCCGGCGAGGGGAGUGAAAAAGAACCUGAAACCGUGUACGUACAAGCAGUGGGAGCACGCUUAGGCGUGUGACUGCGUACCUUUUGUAUAAUGGGUCAGCGACUUAUAUUCUGUAGCAAGGUUAACCGAAUAGGGGAGCCGAAGGGAAACCGAGUCUUAACUGGGCGUUAAGUUGCAGGGUAUAGACCCGAAACCCGGUGAUCUAGCCAUGGGCAGGUUGAAGGUUGGGUAACACUAACUGGAGGACCGAACCGACUAAUGUUGAAAAAUUAGCGGAUGACUUGUGGCUGGGGGUGAAAGGCCAAUCAAACCGGGAGAUAGCUGGUUCUCCCCGAAAGCUAUUUAGGUAGCGCCUCGUGAAUUCAUCUCCGGGGGUAGAGCACUGUUUCGGCAAGGGGGUCAUCCCGACUUACCAACCCGAUGCAAACUGCGAAUACCGGAGAAUGUUAUCACGGGAGACACACGGCGGGUGCUAACGUCCGUCGUGAAGAGGGAAACAACCCAGACCGCCAGCUAAGGUCCCAAAGUCAUGGUUAAGUGGGAAACGAUGUGGGAAGGCCCAGACAGCCAGGAUGUUGGCUUAGAAGCAGCCAUCAUUUAAAGAAAGCGUAAUAGCUCACUGGUCGAGUCGGCCUGCGCGGAAGAUGUAACGGGGCUAAACCAUGCACCGAAGCUGCGGCAGCGACACUGUGUGUUGUUGGGUAGGGGAGCGUUCUGUAAGCCUGCGAAGGUGUGCUGUGAGGCAUGCUGGAGGUAUCAGAAGUGCGAAUGCUGACAUAAGUAACGAUAAAGCGGGUGAAAAGCCCGCUCGCCGGAAGACCAAGGGUUCCUGUCCAACGUUAAUCGGGGCAGGGUGAGUCGACCCCUAAGGCGAGGCCGAAAGGCGUAGUCGAUGGGAAACAGGUUAAUAUUCCUGUACUUGGUGUUACUGCGAAGGGGGGACGGAGAAGGCUAUGUUGGCCGGGCGACGGUUGUCCCGGUUUAAGCGUGUAGGCUGGUUUUCCAGGCAAAUCCGGAAAAUCAAGGCUGAGGCGUGAUGACGAGGCACUACGGUGCUGAAGCAACAAAUGCCCUGCUUCCAGGAAAAGCCUCUAAGCAUCAGGUAACAUCAAAUCGUACCCCAAACCGACACAGGUGGUCAGGUAGAGAAUACCAAGGCGCUUGAGAGAACUCGGGUGAAGGAACUAGGCAAAAUGGUGCCGUAACUUCGGGAGAAGGCACGCUGAUACGUAGGUGAAGUCCCUCGCGGAUGGAGCUGAAAUCAGUCGAAGAUACCAGCUGGCUGCAACUGUUUAUUAAAAACACAGCACUGUGCAAACACGAAAGUGGACGUAUACGGUGUGACGCCUGCCCGGUGCCGGAAGGUUAAUUGAUGGGGUCAGCGCAAGCGAAGCUCUUGAUCGAAGCCCCGGUAAACGGCGGCCGUAACUAUAACGGUCCUAAGGUAGCGAAAUUCCUUGUCGGGUAAGUUCCGACCUGCACGAAUGGCGUAAUGAUGGCCAGGCUGUCUCCACCCGAGACUCAGUGAAAUUGAACUCGCUGUGAAGAUGCAGUGUACCCGCGGCAAGACGGAAAGACCCCGUGAACCUUUACUAUAGCUUGACACUGAACAUUGAGCCUUGAUGUGUAGGAUAGGUGGGAGGCUUUGAAGUGUGGACGCCAGUCUGCAUGGAGCCGACCUUGAAAUACCACCCUUUAAUGUUUGAUGUUCUAACGUUGACCCGUAAUCCGGGUUGCGGACAGUGUCUGGUGGGUAGUUUGACUGGGGCGGUCUCCUCCUAAAGAGUAACGGAGGAGCACGAAGGUUGGCUAAUCCUGGUCGGACAUCAGGAGGUUAGUGCAAUGGCAUAAGCCAGCUUGACUGCGAGCGUGACGGCGCGAGCAGGUGCGAAAGCAGGUCAUAGUGAUCCGGUGGUUCUGAAUGGAAGGGCCAUCGCUCAACGGAUAAAAGGUACUCCGGGGAUAACAGGCUGAUACCGCCCAAGAGUUCAUAUCGACGGCGGUGUUUGGCACCUCGAUGUCGGCUCAUCACAUCCUGGGGCUGAAGUAGGUCCCAAGGGUAUGGCUGUUCGCCAUUUAAAGUGGUACGCGAGCUGGGUUUAGAACGUCGUGAGACAGUUCGGUCCCUA
This 2613-nucleotide ribosomal RNA is filed under the name Escherichia coli. Its description in RNAcentral is "partial 23S ribosomal RNA". It matches the Rfam family "Bacterial large subunit ribosomal RNA". The record is from RNAcentral. Lineage: Bacteria; Pseudomonadati; Pseudomonadota; Gammaproteobacteria; Enterobacterales; Enterobacteriaceae.